CAGUGGCGAAGGCGGCCCCCCCUGGACAAUAGACUGACCGCUCAGGUGCGAAAGCGUGGGGAGCAAACAGGAUUUAGAUAACCCUGCUAGUCCACGCCGUAAACGAUGUCGACUUUGGAGGUUGUGCCCCUUGAGGGCGUGGCUUUCCGGAGCUAACGCAUUAAGUCGACCGCCUGGGGAGUACGGCCGCAAGGUUAAAACUCAAAUGAAUUGACGGGGGCCCGCACAAGCGGUGGAGCAUGUGGUUUAAUUCGAUGCAACGCGAAGAACCUUCCCUACUCUUGACAUGCACAGAACUUUCCAGAGAUGGAUUGGUGCCUUCGGGAACUGUGAGACAGGUGCUGCAUGGCUGUCGUCAGCUCGUGUUGUGAAAUGUUGGGUUAAGUCCCGCAACGAGCGCAACCCUUAUCCUUUGUUGCCAGCACGUCAUGGUGGGAACUCAAAGGAGACUGCCGGUGAUAAACCGGAGGAAGGUGGGGAUGACGUCAAGUCAUCAUGGCCCUUACGAGUAGGGCUACACACGUGCUACAAUGGCAUAUACAAAGAGAAGCCAACUCGCGAGAGCAACCGCCCCUCAUAAAGUAUGUCGUAGUCCGGAUCGGAGUCUGCAACUCGACUCCGUGAAGUCGGAAUCGCUAGUAAUAGUAGAUCAGAAUGUUCCGGUGAAUACGUUCCCGGGCCUUGUUCGCGCCCCCGUCACACCAUGGAAUGGGUCCCCACCUUCCCGUUCUUUUUAACCUUCGGGAGGGCGCUUACCCUUUGUGAUUCAGACUGGGGGGAAGUUGGUACCCAAGGUACCCCCA
This 803-nucleotide ribosomal RNA is filed under the name Obesumbacterium sp. SS24. RNAcentral describes it as "bacterial SSU rRNA". It matches the Rfam family "Bacterial small subunit ribosomal RNA", at positions 710 to 1504 of the family's 1533-position model. Lineage: Bacteria; Pseudomonadati; Pseudomonadota; Gammaproteobacteria; Enterobacterales; Hafniaceae. The record is from RNAcentral.